Molecule: long non-coding RNA, 583 nt
Organism: Myodes glareolus (Bank vole)
Lineage: Eukaryota; Metazoa; Chordata; Mammalia; Rodentia; Cricetidae
Source: RefSeq, a predicted model, not a curated record
CUGUGCAGAAUGCAGCCUCAAAGAAAGUUGCUCCAGCAGCAUGGAAAAUAACUCCCUGUCUGCACUUCUCUGGAAGAGAAAAAGGGAAGAAGUCGGGGUUCAAGCCUACCCCAGUCCUGAGUGGAGCAGAGGGGAAUGGGGAGGUUGCAGUUCUUGGCUUACAUAUCACAGAUUUGCCUGCUCUUUGUCAGAACGCCACUGGUUUUGAGAAAAAUACUUCUUAAUUUGCACUAUAUCUAUAGAACUGUUUCCACAGAUCUUGGAACCCUACUGGUUAACUGAAGUGCACUGCAAACUCAAAAGAGCCAACUCAAUAAUGAACAGCCACCCCCAACAUAAUUUGUCCUCCUUUGCUCUCUACCAAGAUCAACACGUGUGAAAAAUUCCUUUGAGUAUCGCUGAAAUUUACCAACCUUCAUGGCAAAAUCUAAGAUUUAGAGAAAUACUGCCGAGCAAGGCCAGCUCUUACUGGAGUAAACCAGAUCUUCAUGAUCCUGGAAUAAACUUUCAGAACUAUAUUGCUACAGAACCUUCACUGACUGCUCACCAAGGAGCUUAACCAAUGGAAAUAUCUCAGGCAAAA